RNAcentral lists this ribosomal RNA (253 nucleotides) under uncultured bacterium. RNAcentral describes it as "partial 16S ribosomal RNA". It matches the Rfam family "Bacterial small subunit ribosomal RNA", at positions 524 to 776 of the family's 1533-position model. The record is from RNAcentral.
UACGUAGGGUGCAAGCGUUGUCCGGAAUUAUUGGGCGUAAAGAGCUCGUAGGCGGUUUGUCGCGUCGAAUGUGAAAACCCGGGGCUCAACCCCGGGCCUGCAGCCGAUACGGGCAGACUAGAGUUCGGCAGGGGAGACUGGAAUUCCUGGUGUAGCGGUGAAAUGCGCAGAUAUCAGGAGGAACACCGGUGGCGAAGGCGGGUCUCUGGGCCGAUACUGACGCCGAGGAGCGAAAGCGUGGGGAGCAAACAGG